RNAcentral lists this long non-coding RNA (838 nucleotides) under Homo sapiens (human). Its description in RNAcentral is "HSALNT0372450". Lineage: Eukaryota; Metazoa; Chordata; Mammalia; Primates; Hominidae. The record is from RNAcentral.
AGAGCCCACCCUUGGAGAACCACUGGGCUAUAGAAUGAUGUCAAGGGCUGGAGAGGGAGGCUACAGAGUGGGUCUAGGUCCAGGCCGGAAAGCUGCUGAACCAGGAAGCUGUGCUGAUGCUGCUGACUGCCCCUGAGGUUAGAGAUUGACUAGACAUAGUGCCACUGUCAUCCCUGCUGGAGAAGGUCCGAAGCACCUCCACCUCUGUGCUUCCAGAGGGGCACUGUGGUGGCCACUUAAAAUGCUCAGGCUAUACCAUGCACUAGAGCAUCUACCUGGGCAAGGGAUAUGCUGUAUGACACUCUCCUGAUGCUGGGCAUGGCUGUGAGCCAAAGCACCCAGGCAGCCCUGCCAUCAGAAGGGUAAACCACGGACACCUGAUGCCUUCCUGAAGGAAGAGCACUACGCCUGCCAAACCAUCAAGCGUUGAUGCUCCAGCGCCUUCUACCCGUGGUUCUCCAGCCUCAGCAGAAGAGAGAGAAAUUGAUGACCCUGUCGUUGUAGCAUCCCCAUCACCCAGCAAUUAAUUUUAGUUCAAUGCUUCAAACGCUCUUCAGGCGCAGUGUGCGUUCAGCUGUGUCAGCUAAUGGUGAGUACCCGGACAACCAUUCUGUUUCACAUUCAGUACAGUAUUCAAUAAAUCACAUGAGAUACUCAACACUGUAUUAUAACAUAGAUAGGCCUGUGUUACAUUAUGUUGCCCACUGUAAGCUAAUGUAAGUGUUCUGAGCACGUUUAAGGGAGGCGAGGCUGAGCUCUGAUAUUCGAUAGGUUAGGUGUAUUCAAAGCAUUUUAGACUUUCAAUAUUUUCAAUUUACAAUGGCUUUUAUAGGGAUGU